This 69-nucleotide transfer RNA is filed under the name Marmota monax (woodchuck). It matches the Rfam family "tRNA". Rfam says of the family: Transfer RNA (tRNA) molecules are approximately 80 nucleotides in length. Their secondary structure includes four short double-helical elements and three loops (D, anti-codon, and T loops). Lineage: Eukaryota; Metazoa; Chordata; Mammalia; Rodentia; Sciuridae. The record is from Rfam by way of RNAcentral.
GGAGUUGUAGCUCAGUGGUGGAGUGCUCACCUAGCAUGUGUGGGGCACUGGGUUCAAGCCUCAGCACCA